Molecule: ribosomal RNA, 253 nt
Filed under: uncultured bacterium
Lineage: Bacteria
Description: partial 16S ribosomal RNA
Rfam family: Bacterial small subunit ribosomal RNA
Source: RNAcentral
AACGUAGGAGACAAACGUUAUCCGGAGUUACUGGGCGUAAAGGGCGUGUAGGCGGUCUGUUAAGUCUGGCGUGAAAGCUCUCGGCUAAACCGGGAGAGGUCGUUGGAUACUGGCAGACUAGAGGACGGUAGAGGCGUGUGGAAUUCCGGGUGUAGUGGUGAAAUGCGUAGAUAUUGCUAGGAACACCAAUGGCGAAGGCAGUUUGCUGGGAUUUUUCUGACGGUCAGGGACGAAAGCGUGGGGAGCGAACAGG